RNAcentral lists this ribosomal RNA (950 nucleotides) under gut metagenome. Its description in RNAcentral is "bacterial SSU rRNA". It matches the Rfam family "Bacterial small subunit ribosomal RNA", at positions 8 to 936 of the family's 1533-position model. The record is from RNAcentral.
AGAGUUUGAUCCUGGCUCAGGACGAACGCUGGCGGCGUGCUUAACACAUGCAAGUCGAACGGACGGACUCGAUAGCUUGCUAUUGGGAAAGUUAGUGGCAAACGGGUGAGUAACGCGUAGGCAACCUGCCCUUCAGAUGGGGACAACACUUCGAAAGAGGUGCUAAUACCGAAUGACGUAUCUAUUCCGCAUGGAGAGGAUACCAAAGGCCGGGCAACCGGUCACUGAAGGAUGGGCCUGCGUCUGAUUAGCUAGUUGGUGGGGUAACGGCCCACCAAGGCGACGAUCAGUAGCCGGUCUGAGAGGAUGAACGGCCACAUUGGGACUGAGACACGGCCCAAACUCCUACGGGAGGCAGCAGUGGGGAAUCUUCCGCAAUGGGCGCAAGCCUGACGGAGCAACGCCGCGUGAGUGAAGAAGGUUUUCGGAUCGUAAAGCUCUGUUGAGAGGGACGAGAGGCAAGGCUAGGAAAUGAGCUUUGUAGGACGGUACCUUUCGAGGAAGCCACGGCUAACUACGUGCCAGCAGCCGCGGUAAUACGUAGGUGGCGAGCGUUGUCCGGAAUUAUUGGGCGUAAAGGGAGCGCAGGUGGGAAAGUAAGUCAGUCUUAAAAGUGCGGGGCUCAACCCCGUGAGGGGAUUGAAACUACUUUUCUUGAGUGCAGGAGAGGAAAGCGGAAUUCCUAGUGUAGCGGUGAAAUGCGUAGAUAUUAGGAGGAACACCAGUGGCGAAGGCGGCUUUCUGGACUGUAACUGACACUGAGGCUCGAAAGCCAGGGGAGCGAACGGGAUUAGAUACCCCGGUAGUCCUGGCCGUAAACGAUGGAUACUAGGUGUAGGAGGUAUCGACCCCUUCUGUGCCGGAGUUAACGCAAUAAGUAUCCCGCCUGGGGAGUACGGUCGCAAGACUGAAACUCAAAGGAAUUGACGGGGGCCCGCACAAGCGGUGGA